Molecule: ribosomal RNA, 432 nt
Filed under: uncultured bacterium
Lineage: Bacteria
Description: partial 16S ribosomal RNA
Rfam family: Bacterial small subunit ribosomal RNA
Source: RNAcentral
AACGAACGCUGGCGGCAUGCCUAACACAUGCAAGUCGAACGAGACCUUCGGGUCUAGUGGCGCACGGGUGCGUAACGCGUGGGAACCUGCCCUUAGGUUCGGAAUAACUCCCCGAAAGGGGUGCUAAUACCGGAUAAUGUCUUCGGACCAAAGAUUUAUCGCCUUUGGAUGGGCCCGCGUUGGAUUAGCUAGUUGGUAGGGUAAAAGCCUACCAAGGCGACGAUCCAUAGCUGGUCUGAGAGGAUGAUCAGCCACACUGGGACUGAGACACGGCCCAGACUCCUCGGGGAGGCAGCAGGGGGGAAUAUUGGACAAUGGGCGAAAGCCUGAUCCAGCAAGGCCGGGGGAGUGAUGAAGGCCUUAGGGUUGUAAAGCUCUUUUCCCCGGGAUGAUAAUGACAGUACCGGGAGAAUAAGCCCCGGCUAACCCCGG